This 869-nucleotide ribosomal RNA is filed under the name uncultured bacterium. RNAcentral's name for it is "bacterial SSU rRNA". It matches the Rfam family "Bacterial small subunit ribosomal RNA", at positions 21 to 905 of the family's 1533-position model. The record is from RNAcentral.
GGCUCAGGAUGAACGCUGGCGGCGUGCCUAACACAUGCAAGUCGAACGAAGAGGCCCCUUCGGGGGUACUUCAGUGGCGGACGGGUGAGUACAACAUAGGUGACCUGCCCCAAAGCGGGGGAUAACAGUCCGAAAGGAUUGCUAAUACCCCAUGUGGUCAUUGGGAUUUGAUGCUCAAUGACUAAAGGAGUAAUCCGCUUUGGGAGGGGCCUGUGGCCCAUCAGCUUGUUGGUAGGGUAAUGGCCUACCAAGGCUACGACGGGUAGGGGGCCUGAGAGGGUGACCCCCCACAUUGGCACUGACACACGGGCCAAACUCCUACGGGAGGCAGCAGUGAGGAAUAUUGCACAAUGAGCGAAAGCUUGAUGCAGCAACGCCGCGUGAGCGAUGAAGGCCUUCGGGUCGUAAAGCUCUUUUGAGAGAGACGAGAUAGGACGGUACCUCUCGAAUAAGUCACGGCUAACUACGUGCCAGCAGCCGCGGUAAAACGUAGGUGGCGAGCGUUAUCCGGAUUCACUGGGCGUAAAGCGAGUGCAGGUGGUUUUGUAAGUUGGAUGUGAAAUUUCCCGGCUUAACCGGGAAAGGUCAUUCAAUACUGCAGGACUUGAGGGCAAAAGAGGGGGGUGGAAUUGCCGGUGUAGUGGUGAAAUGCGUAGAUAUCGGCAGGAACACCUGUGGCGAAAGCGGCCCCCUGGUUUGCUCCUGACACUCAGACUCGAAAGCUAGGGUAGCGAACGGGAUUAGAAACCCCGGUAGUCCUAGCCGUAAACGAUGGAUGCUAGGUGUAGGUGGUAUUGACCCCAUCUGUGCCGAAGCUAACGCGUUAAGUGCCCCGCCUGGGGAGUACGGUCGCAAGACUGAAACUCAAU